RNAcentral lists this non-coding RNA (23 nucleotides) under Arabidopsis thaliana (thale cress). Lineage: Eukaryota; Viridiplantae; Streptophyta; Magnoliopsida; Brassicales; Brassicaceae. The record is from RNAcentral.
GGGAACAACAUCCACAAGGUGUC